UAAACAUUUAACAAAAUUGUAAUUAAAAUGCUUACAAUUAAAAAUAAUUUCGAAUUACAGCUCUUAAUUUUGUUACCGCAUGUAGCCGAGCCGGCAUUAUCUGCAUGAUGUUCUUGAAAGCGGAAGUAGAUAGUGUUUGUGCAUGUCCGGAUUACUCCCACGUGUAAACGAAUGCAACCCUAACUGUUUUGACGGUUGUUUUAGAUGUGUAUUCCACUCGUCUACUCCUGCAGAACCAAGACUCUAACAACAGCCAGUGAUGAUGUCUGUUAUUUUGUUUAGCUUCAGAUUAAUUCUUAUCCAGUGGACAGUGGACAAAGACAUUUCAACUAUCCCCAUAUUUCUUGUGGCUUCCAGUCCUCCAUGUCAGCUACAUUUCUCUCAACUACAACUGUAACCUUUAUGCUCUCCACUGCCAUUGACAGUUCAGCAAUACUUCAAGCUAAGCUGUUUCUUAAAAAGGAGACACAAAAAAAUCACCAAAUUUAGCCUGGACACCCUGUAGCAGUCACCGCCAGCCAUGUUUUCUACAUAGUUUGGGAUUUAAAAAAACAAACAAUUAUGUUCUUAAAAGACAUACCUUGUGAGGAAUUAGCAGACAUUAUAGGCAAGAACUUGUCAUAUCCAGAAGCCCAAUGUUCAGUGAAGUGACAGUGAUAAUAAAAAAGAAUGUUAUUUAUAUGCACAUUGGCUUUCAUUCAUCACCCUACAUUGGUUGUAUAUUUAAUAUAUACGUCAUUGAAAAUAAAUUGAUGCAAUCAAAUUUUAAAAUAAAUCAUUAUCAUCAUUGUUUUAAUGUUGACUUUUUCAUGCUCACACAGAUGACAUGGAAUUUGAUGAGGCAGACAUUCUAUGGCUGGAUGCCAAAGAAGUGAUGCAUCCCAUGACCAGCCAUGCCUGCAUCUAUGAAUGAACAUGCAAAACAUCAAUACUCUUGACAA
Molecule: long non-coding RNA, 941 nt
Organism: Octopus bimaculoides (California two-spot octopus)
Lineage: Eukaryota; Metazoa; Mollusca; Cephalopoda; Octopoda; Octopodidae
Source: RefSeq, a predicted model, not a curated record